AAAUCAUGGGGUUGACACAUUUCCAUGCAUAUUUUAUCUUUCUCUCCUCGAGAACCAUGUCACAUGUAUCUCCUUAUAAAUUGAGAAGAGAACACUGUAGCUUCCUCAUCCUUCUUUUGCUAGAAUGCAUAUACUAACUAAAUAAUUCCGCUUGAUCCCGCGACCAUUUGCAGCCAAUGCAGCAGAGAAGUUUACUAAUGGCCUGGAAGAAUGAUGUAGAACGGGUUCCUGCUUGAUUUUGGUCUAAAAUGGUGUGCGCAAAGAAGUAGACGAAAGAACCAUUCUGAGGGUAGGGGUAUAAUUGAGGCUAAUCAAGCCGAACAAUCUAAUUUGCAAGGUUGUUUAAUUAUUUUAAUGAGUUUGUAAUUUUGGUCAAGUUUAGCUUGUUUAUUUGUCGAAUCAAACUCCCAAUGAGUUGUUUUUAUUGAAUUUGAAAGUUAUUGAAUAUAAAA
Molecule: long non-coding RNA, 452 nt
Filed under: Coffea arabica (coffee)
Lineage: Eukaryota; Viridiplantae; Streptophyta; Magnoliopsida; Gentianales; Rubiaceae
Description: long non-coding RNA (CARA_LNC002185)
Source: RNAcentral